Non-coding RNA from Nicotiana tabacum (common tobacco), 720 nucleotides. Lineage: Eukaryota; Viridiplantae; Streptophyta; Magnoliopsida; Solanales; Solanaceae. The record is from RefSeq and is a predicted model, not a curated record.
UCUAAUAUUACAGGUCAAAACCCUAUUUUUCCAAUUUCCCCUCUCUCUCUGCUCGACCGAUAUUUUACCCUUGAGGCUGUUGUUCUUUGAUCUCUCGUUCACUCCUCCUGUGCGACUGACGAGCUAAAUCACUAAUCACUACUCAGCUCUCUCUCUUUCUUCUCAUAUCCUCAUACGGGAAGUCUAUCAUAAACGUUUUGAGUAAUGACGUCAAAGUCAACCGAUUCCGAGAAUGGUAGCUCAACCCAAGUAUCACUCAAUGAUGUAGCUUCAAUAUGGACACAAGUGGUUAGUGGCAUAAAGAAAGGUAAAAACUACGGUCUUGGAUCACAACAUUCAGUAGGUCGUUCUUCGACAUUGUUGUCUAGUGGUGCGAAUUAUUCGCAUAAUCACGAAGAGGUAGAAGAAUUACGAAAAGAAUUUUAAGAGUUGAAGGAGGAACGGAAAGAAGAUCGCACAAAUUUUAACAAAUUAUAAAGUCUAGUGGAGAAACUUAUGAGCAUGCGUCAAUUUGAUCCUUUGAAUGGAGAUGAUGGCAGGGAUAAUGAGUUUUAGUUUGUUGUGGUUGUGAUAUUUGAGACAUUAUUAUUUGUUGUGGUUAGAUGUUUAGACUUGGUAAUAUUUACACUUGACUAUGAUUGUAAUGUUUUAGACUAGAUUGAACGGUGCGUUUAACUUGUGUUUGGAUGUUUUAUUUAUAAAUAUUUAUGUUUUCUAUAA